RNAcentral lists this ribosomal RNA (497 nucleotides) under uncultured bacterium. RNAcentral describes it as "partial 16S ribosomal RNA". It matches the Rfam family "Bacterial small subunit ribosomal RNA", at positions 28 to 507 of the family's 1533-position model. The record is from RNAcentral.
GACGAACGCUGGCGGCGUGCCUAAUACAUGCAAGUAGGACGCUGAAGAGAGGAGCUUGCUCUUCUUGGAUGAGUUGCGAACGGGUGAGUAACGCGUAGGUAACCUGCCUUGUAGCGGGGGAUAACUAUUGGAAACGAUAGCUAAUACCGCAUAACAAUGGAUGACACAUGUCAUUUAUUUGAAAGGGGCAAUUGCUCCACUACAAGAUGGACCUGCGUUGUAUUAGCUAGUAGGUGAGGUAACGGCUCACCUAGGCGACGAUACAUAGCCGACCUGAGAGGGUGAUCGGCCACCCGGGGACGGUGACACGGCCCAGACUCCUACGGGAGGCAGCAGUAGGGAAUCUUCGGCAAUGGGGGCAACCCUGACCGAGCAACGCCGCGUGAGUGAAGAAGGUUUUCGGAUCGUAAAGCUCUGUUGUAAGUCAAGAACGAGUGUGAGAGUGGAAAGUUCACACUGUGACGGUAGCUUACCAGAAAGGGACGGCUAACUACGUG